Long non-coding RNA from Hydra vulgaris (swiftwater hydra), 385 nucleotides. RefSeq lists it as uncharacterized. The record is from RefSeq and is a predicted model, not a curated record. NCBI's taxonomy places the organism in Eukaryota, Metazoa, Cnidaria, Hydrozoa, Anthoathecata, Hydridae.
GUUAGUACACUUAUAUUACAGUUUCUUCAUUUUAUAUUAGUUCAUGUAAUUUUUUCAAAAUCGAAUAUGCGGAAAGGAGCUAUUUGGAAUGAAGAUUUACAAGAAGAAGUAAUUCUAUCUAAUUGAAUUAGUGAUAAAAUUGUUUGUCAGCUUCCAGGUACCAAAGCAUUGACUGCACUAAAAUGCAGAGAAGAAUUGGCUUAAGUUUAUACAAAUAAAAACUAAAUUCUCUUCAGAGUAUUUUCGAAAAGUUAUAUGGUCUCUAUGGAUAUGAAGGGCGAAAGUGGAAAAAUAUGUUUUAAGAACACUAAUCUAUAUGGCGUUGAAAAAGAUGUGCCUUCAUAAGAUCUUCUUCUAUUGUAUUCAAUGGACCAAAAGAACCCUC